AUAUUUACUAUACAAACAUUUUUUUUUUAAAUCAAUUAACUAUUUGGUUCAAUUUAUUUUUUUUACGUUCAUAUUAUUCUUUUUUUUUUUAUGAGAGAAAAGUAGUAUAUAUAUCUGUUUCAUUUAUUUCUUUAUAUAAAUAAAUUUAACUCGAAAUGUGAUGCAGCCAGAUUUCGAUAUUAGAACCUCAGGUGCCAACCAUCAAAUCUUUUACAAUUUGUGUUAGGGACGGUCGGUACACAAAAUGAUUCUGUACGCACCAAAUUUUGAACUUUUAAAAUUCCAAAUGAAAAUUUACACUUGGGCCAAAU
This 311-nucleotide long non-coding RNA is filed under the name Ananas comosus (pineapple). RNAcentral's name for it is "long non-coding RNA (ACOM_LNC007753)". Lineage: Eukaryota; Viridiplantae; Streptophyta; Magnoliopsida; Poales; Bromeliaceae. The record is from RNAcentral.